Long non-coding RNA from Cyprinus carpio carpio, 854 nucleotides. Lineage: Eukaryota; Metazoa; Chordata; Actinopteri; Cypriniformes; Cyprinidae. The record is from Ensembl.
GGGCGACAGAACUGCGGCCUACUUUUAACAACUCAUAAACGACAAUAUUCCAGGUUAGUUGAAAUACAAAAAUGUUGGAAACGUAUAUUAUAAAUUCACAAAUGUGUCUUAAGAUGUUCUCCCUCCAGAAAAGAGCUAUGUCUCCAUUUAAAGGUGAAAUACUUUCUCAAUCCCAGUUUAAAGUAAAGAGUCAGCUACAAGGAAGAGCUGACUGUGGCAUCAUUUGAGAGCGUAAUGUCUGCCUGUGCGGCCCAGACAGAGAGACAGGGCUUCCCCCUGACACCAGCAUUGAUUCUCCCAUUGAAAGACUCUCCUUUCUUUCCUGUAGUAUUGAUGAAUGAUUCAUGAGGCUGCACAACGAGUGGAACUUGGCAGUGCACUUUGGACAGAGAGAUUGUGUGAGGAUCACACGGGCAGAGAUUAGCCAAUGCACCUAUUUUCAGAGACGGCUCGUGGCCGUGGACCCGUGAGGGGCAUCAGUAUAAAAUCUCCUUAAUAUGUUGGGCUCAUUAGCUUUUAAUGUUUUUAUAAUGGCCAGAUGCUUGAGCCUCAUGUACACCAAAGCAAAAGGCCCCUGGAUAGUAUUUAUGCAACUGAAUUAGCUCCUACAGGAGACCAGACCUUCUUGUUGUUGUACCACUUUUUUUUUGUGCUGCAUUAUAACAGUAACAUUGAUGAAUUAUUUGUUUUUUGUCUCAGUUAUUGAGGUACAAUGAAAUCUGAAGUGUGCAUGUGUGUGUAUGAAAAUACUUGUUUGCUUAUUUGCUUUUAUGUUUGUUUUUUGGACGGUUAUUUGUUAAUUAAUUAAUUAAUUAUUUUUUUAUUAAUUAAUAAUUCAAAAAAUUAUUAUCAGC